GCAUUAAUGGGGUAGUGGUAACCUGGGUCGUUGCCAUACGUAGUGAUAAACGGUGUGCAUCCUCUCGACCCGCCGGGGGUUCGAUUCCCUCUUAAUGCA
Molecule: non-coding RNA, 99 nt
Organism: Mycena floridula
Lineage: Eukaryota; Fungi; Basidiomycota; Agaricomycetes; Agaricales; Mycenaceae
Source: the annotation of a GenBank genome assembly